RNAcentral lists this ribosomal RNA (434 nucleotides) under uncultured Lachnospiraceae bacterium. Its description in RNAcentral is "partial 16S ribosomal RNA". It matches the Rfam family "Bacterial small subunit ribosomal RNA", at positions 341 to 792 of the family's 1533-position model. Lineage: Bacteria; Bacillati; Bacillota; Clostridia; Lachnospirales; Lachnospiraceae. The record is from RNAcentral.
ACGGGAGGCAGCAGUGGGGAAUAUUGCACAAUGGGGGAAACCCUGAUGCAGCGACGCCGCGUGAGCGAUGAAGUAUUUCGGUAUGUAAAGCUCUAUCAGCAGGGAAGAUAAUGACGGUACCUGACUAAGAAGCCCCGGCUAACUACGUGCCAGCAGCCGCGGUAAUACGUAGGGGGCAAGCGUUAUCCGGAUUUACUGGGUGUAGAGGGAGCGCAGGCGGUUUUUUAAGUCUGAUGUGAAAGCCCGUGGCUCAACUGCGGGACUGCAUUGGAAACUGGAGAACUAGAGUGUCGGAGGGGCAAGUGGAAUUCCUAGUGUAGCGGUGAAAUGCGUAGAUAUUAGGAGGAACACCAGUGGCGAAGGCGGCUUACUGGACUGUAACUGACGUUGAGGCUCGAAAGCGUGGGGAGCAAACAGGAUUAGAUACCCUGGUA